UACAGAGGUCUCAAGCGUUGUUCGGAUUAAUUGGGCGUAAAGGGUGUGUAGGCGGCGCCGUAAGUCGGGUGUGAAAUUUCGGAGCUUAACUCCGAAACUGCAUUCGAUACUGCGGUGCUUGAGGACUGGAGAGGAGACUGGAAUUCAUGGUGUAGCGGUGAAAUGCGUAGAUAUCGUAAGGAAGACCAGUGGCGAAGGCGGGUCUCUGGACAGUUCCUGACGCUGAGGCACGAAGGCCAGGGGAGCAAACGGG
RNAcentral lists this ribosomal RNA (253 nucleotides) under uncultured bacterium. RNAcentral describes it as "partial 16S ribosomal RNA". It matches the Rfam family "Bacterial small subunit ribosomal RNA", at positions 524 to 776 of the family's 1533-position model. The record is from RNAcentral.